GAUGAACGCUGGCGGCGUGCUUAACACAUGCAAGUCGAACGAAGCACUUUAUUUGAUUUCCUUCGGGACUGAUUAUUUUGUGACUGAGUGGCGGACGGGUGAGUAACGCGUGGGUAACCUGCCUUGUACAGGGGGAUAACAGUUGGAAACGGCUGCUAAUACCGCAUAAGCGCACAGCAUCGCAUGAUGCAGUGUGAAAAACUCCGGUGGUAUAAGAUGGACCCGCGUUGGAUUAGCUAGUUGGUGAGGUAACGGCCCACCAAGGCGACGAUCCAUAGCCGACCUGAGAGGGUGACCGGCCACAUUGGGACUGAGACACGGCCCAAACUCCUACGGGAGGUAGCAGUGGGGAAUAUUGCACAAUGGGCGAAAGCCUGAUGCAGCGACGCCGCGUGAGCGAAGAAGUAUUUCGGUAUGUAAAGCUCUAUCAGCAGGGAAGAUAAUGACGGUACCUGACUAAGAAGCACCGGCUAAAUACGUG
This 481-nucleotide ribosomal RNA is filed under the name uncultured bacterium. RNAcentral's name for it is "partial 16S ribosomal RNA". It matches the Rfam family "Bacterial small subunit ribosomal RNA", at positions 28 to 507 of the family's 1533-position model. The record is from RNAcentral.